Molecule: ribosomal RNA, 350 nt
Filed under: uncultured eukaryote
Lineage: Eukaryota
Description: SSU rRNA
Rfam family: Eukaryotic small subunit ribosomal RNA
Source: RNAcentral
CCAGCACCUGCGGUAAUUCCAGCUCCAAUAGCGUAUACUAAAGUUGUUGCAGUUAAAAAGCUCGUAGUUGAAUUUCUGGUCGCGGCAGCCGGUCCGCUCCUCGCGGAGUGUGUACCAGGCUGAGGCAGCCAUCCUCGCGGAGAGCGCAUCUGGCAUUCACUUGUCGGGUGCGGGAUCCGCGUCUUUUACUGUGAGCAAAAUAGAGUGUUCAGCAGGCUUAGGCCGUUGAAUACAUUAGCAUGGAAUAAUAAGAUAGGACCUUGGUCUAUUUUGUUGGUUUGUACUCCAAGGUAAUGAUUAAUAGGGAUAGUUGGGGGUAUUCGUAUUCAAUUGUCAGAGGUGAAAUUCUU